AUGCUGGAGAAUUCAUUUUUUUGUUUGCUGAAUGAUUUGAUCUCAAAAUUCAAAAUAUUUCAAAUAGAUUUUUAAAUGGUUUUGAAAUAGGUUUUGAAUUAAAAGAAAAAGAAAAAAACAAAAGAAAAGGGAAAACUUUCUAGGGAAGCCUUUGUUAGUUCAAACUUCAAAGAGAGAAAUACAGGCAGACCAGGUUUGCUCGAAUAUUAAUCUGGUCAUAAGCAAGGAGAACUUCACAGUAAACCUCAUUGUGCUAGAGUCAAUCAAUAUUCCUUUGGUUCUUGGUAAUGGAUGGUUAUGUGCACACAAGGCAAUGAUCUAUGCUACCCAGUGGAAACUUUUCUUAACCGCACCAUCAGGGAAAAGAAUUGAGUAUCAGGGUGGUCCACUCCUACCUGAGGAGGCAUAUCCAUGCUAAGUUAUCAUGUCUUUGAGUUGCAUAAGUCAAAAAGUUGGUAGUCAGAAUGGACCUUGAUCAAUUACGAAUAAUAGACAUUUUAUGAAAGUUUUGUUCACAAGUUGUGAUACCGAGACAUGAGUGUUUGUUUUUGGAAUGCAAGUGGUGAAGUUGAAAUAAUUAUCAAUAUCUUUUUCCUGUUUCUCUUUUGGAAUCCGUGCCUCUUCCGAAUCUCGAGGACGAGACUCAUUUUAAGGGGGUAGAUUUGUAACAUCCAAAAAUUUACAACUUUUGAAAUAAGUCUAAAAUAAUUAAAUUUUGAAUUUUUGGUGCUCAUGAAACAUAGGAAAAUAAUAUUUUUAUUAAAUUAAAAUUUAUUAUAGGAUUUAGUAACAUGAAUGUGCAUUCAUGCUGGAGAAUUCAUUUUUUUGUUUGCUGAAUGAUUUGAUCUCAAAAUUCAAAAUAUUUCAAAUAGAUUUUUAAAUGGUUUUGAAAUAGGUUUUGAAUUAAAAGAAAAAGAAAAAAAACAAAAGAAAAGGGAAAACUUUCCCCAUCGGCAUUCUAGCCUGAAGGCCCAGUCCUUCUCCUCCCUUUUUCCCCUGGCCCCCUUUCUCUCCUUCCGCCCGGGCCCAGAACGCGCGCGGCCUGCUUCCCUUCCCCGCGGCCCAGCCACUGGCCCGCUCAAACCACAGACGGGCGCGCCUCUCCCCCCCUCUCUCUUUUCUUUUGACUGACCGACGGGCCCUCCCUUCCCUGCCGCUGACGGCUGGGGCCCACACGUCAGCUCCUGUCUCCUUCUUCCCAACGUGGCCGAGCCGGGCUCUUCACCGCACCGGACACGAUUUGAUUCCGAAAUCGACGGGAUCUUCUUGCCCACACGCGCAACUGAGCACUAUUUAGGCUCCUAGCCCCGCCCCGCACGCGUUUUUUUAUCUAAAGCGCCCGAGAAGCCCUAGCCGCCACCGACGUCGAGGAGUGGAUCUCGCCGAAGCUUUCCACACGUGGCCGCAUCCUUCCCAGCCCUCUCGGGUCGCGUUAAGAGCACCGGUGAGCUCGUAGUAAGCUUCUCCACCUCCCCACGUUUUUAUUUUGUUUUUUGGGCGUCAGCAUCGCCGUUUCUAGCAACUCCGGUGAGCUUUUGGACCUCCGUCAAUGGCGCCACCGCGCCGCCGUCAGCCACCACUCAGCCUCCCUGGAUUCUCCUGAGCCGUCGAAUCAAGAUUGAAUGGCUCAGAUUAAAUCAUACCCCUUCGAGGGGAUUUUUCUUAAAGAGCCCCUGGGUUUCCUUGGAAACAACCCGCAGUCCGACGCGUAUUUCGCUGAAUACGUUUUCUCAAUUUUAAAAGCGUAUUUUCGUCGGUUUAAAAGAAAAUACGUUUUCUGAAAAUUACAGUUUUGCCACUAGAAUUGUUUUGAUCAUAAAGUGCUCAUUUUAAAUCCGAUUUGGUCCAUUCAAAUUGCGUUGGAUUCGUAAUAAUGAGCUCUACAUGUUAGUAAAAUUGUUUACUCAGUUUGAAACUUUUUAAUUUCGUGGCCUUAAUUAAUUAAUUACUUUUCUAUAUAAAAUCUUAUGAAAUUUAUAUCUUUUUCGUUUUAAGUCCGAUUUUCGUGAUCUUUACGUUUGUGUGAUCGUAGCGCUGCGUAGAAUAUUUUGGUAAACUUUUAUAUUUGUUUUAACACUGUUUGGUAUAUUGUUCUAAUUAUAGUUUGUUUGCUUCGUGUAUGAUUGUCUACUUUGGAUUGUGUGUUGUUGAUUGAUGAUCGGGUAUAGACGGUGAGCGAUACGUUGGUGAUCAAGAUCUAGCUUUUGACGACCAGCAGCAGGCUCAGGAGAGCUUUGAUCGAGGCAAGUAUAACUUGGGACUAUCCUUGUCGCCUAUACACAAUUAAUAUAAUAUUUAUCAUAUGCAUGUGUCCACCAUGAUGACCUUAGCAAAAUCAUAGAUGAUUCUUAUCCUGAAUUCCUUGUUACCUAUUUGGAUAUGCAUUUGGGUAGUUCUUGCUAGUGCUUGAAUAUAAUCCAUGAUCUUGUAACAUGAAUGUUUGGAUAAACAAUAAACAAUAAAAUAAGCUUUCUAGCAACUUGAAUAUAAAGGGUGGAAAGAACUCUAGCUUUUGCUGGAUUGAUCUUGACCCUCCAUAAGGACUUAUCCCUUGGCAAAAGCUGGGACAACUCGUACAAACAUGAGGGCUAUAUGGCUCUGGAUUUAGUCAAGUAUGAGUAACUUUUCUACCUUGUUAGGGGUUACCCGUUGUGACGCAAUUGGGGAAUAGCAGACCAUAGAUUCCUGCGGGUGAAUCACAUGGACUUACUAAUAAAACCAAGUGGCCCUAACUUGUUAGACGAACCUUUGAAAGACUUCAUAGUGAACCCUGUCGGCUUUCCUUGGAAGUGAGCUAAGAGGUCGACGGGCCUCGGGCGAAAGGGUAAAUCAUGACUCAUGGGUAAAGAUGUACAACCUCUGCAGAGUGUUAAAUCUGGUAUACUAGCCGUGCCCACGGAUACGGGCAGCUCUGAAAACUGACGGAAUAGAUGGACACUGAUGAACAUGAUUAAUGAUGAUAAAUGAUGGUUUAUUAUGUUGUUUAUAUGUGUUAUUCUUAAUUCUUGUAUACAUUGAUCAUGUGGUUAUGGGAUUUAAUAUGCUACCUUGAUAUUUGCUAUUCAAUAAUUAAAUAUGCUAUCUACAUAAAAAAGCUAAAUGCUGUCAAACCAGUGUCAGCUAAUUGAGCCUCAUGAACCCCUGGUUAUACUUGUUGAGUACGAUAUGUGCUCACUCUUGCAAUUUCCCCCACACUUCAGGAGAUGUUUUGGGCUUGUGAUCAACCAGUCAGUUUGAUCCUGUGGAGAGGAGUUAAUACCUGAAGUUUGGAGUUGUCUAUCCGCUGUUUGCUAUCAAAGGUUAUAUCCUUUACACUAAGUAUGUUAUAUAUUUAUGCAUUGUAUUUUGAUAUUACCCCUCAUUUGUAGCUAUAUGUGAGACUUGACUUUUAAAACUCACAUAUGGUACAUAUCUGGUUUUGUCCUUAAAAUCGGGUAUUACAAAGUGGUACCAGAGCAAUGCUGACUGUAGGACGCAAGCUUAGUUAGAACUGGACGUUUUAGCAUGCUUCUAUCUUGGCUUACUUCUUGCUUUCGCCUUGACCUUGAUAGUUGCUAAAAGUUAUGCUUACUUCUUGCCUGGUUCUUUUAUAAAAUCUUGUCUCUAUUCUAAAUCCUCUCUCUUUGUCUCUUUAGAUGGAUCAUAACGAGGAGACCUUUGACAAGAAGGAACAAAAGCACCUAGAUUUGCCAACCGUAAAAGCAUUCGACAGGGAGAAGCUUCUAGCCAUGCAAACACAAGUAGUGAAAGGAAUAACUCAGAAUAAGAACUCUCAGCAACGCAUCUCAGGACCAGUGAGGAGACAAGUAGUAGAAGCUUGGAAGAAUAUGAGAAAUCAUAGAAGUGUUGGGAGUAAUACAUCAGGAUAUCAGGAUCAAUGCCACUGUUGUGAGCAUUAUGGUCUUCCUUGUCUUCGGAAUAUGUCAUCUAAAAAGGAAGUUAAGACAAAACCAACUUGUGUGACUAAUGGGGAUAAGAAGAGGAAGGCAAAAGCACUAGAGCCGGCUUUGGGAAGUGAUCAACACCCAAAUCCUAAGAUGUCACAUGUAGCUUUGAAUUCUCGUCAGGAAAACCCAAACCUUGGAGAUGAACAAAUUCCCCAAGCUAAUCCCACUGCUCAUGAGGUAUGCAUAGAUGGAUGGACAAUCACUUAUAAAGAGUUUCAACCUCAAAGGAUCAAGAAAUAUAGGAAGAAAUCUAAUCAUACAAAGAUAAACCAUCAGAGUCAGUGAGUUGAUGAGACACCGAACAACACUUCAGUGGAAAAUAACAUCACAAAGGAUCCAGCUAAGAGAAGGUGUUUUCACUGUCAACAAGAAGGACAUUAUAUAGCUCUUGUCCACAAAAGAAGCAACAUAUGCAUCGUGAAAAUAACCACACUAAAUCUAAGAUAUAGGUGUUUGUGUCCCCUGGUGUAAUAGAAACGCUAGUAGCGAAAGUUGAGUUUGUGUGCCUUUUGAACCUUUAAUGCUUAAUUGCUUGUUAUUAUGUUUAUGUUUGAUUUGGAUCUUUGUAAUGAGUGUAAUGAUUUUGUGAGUAUCUUCACAAUUUCAUUUAGUUUAUAGAUCUAAGGUAUAAGGAUUAAUGAAAUAAGUAGUUGAGUUUGGCUAUCUCUUGUUUCUAUGCCUUGCUGAAUUCUGGAGCAGUCUGCCAUAAUGCUGGUGUAUCUCAAGUUCUGUUCAUGCAAAGUUUAUCAGAUUUUUCUGGGAACAAAUAGACUUCAAGAUCUUUCCGUGACCGCAAGAAUCACCCUAAUAGCUAUUAUGGUUUGGAAGUUACAAAAAUCACAAGAUGAUAUAGAUGUGCUGUCAAGAAUCUGGACCAGUUUUGGUUGCUUAAUGUGUAAAACAAAUAUAACUAUAGAAUUUGGAAAAGUGUUCUAUAGAAAAGUUAUAGAAUGUUUGCUAAGCUUUCCAACGGUAUAAUCUGGAACUUAUUUGGCUAAGUAGAAACUGAGAUAUGAUAUUUAAAUUGGAUGUUUCUGAUCUGUAUCAAAGUCUGGACAGUUUUAGUAUUCCCUGUUUUCGGCCAAGUUAAAGACAGAAUCUGGGAAAACAUGGUAUACGAAAGUUGUAGAGGAUUUCCUAAGCUUUUCAAAGAUGUAAGGAUCAUCUCCAGAUGAGUUAAGUAGCUCGAGAUAUAAUUUCUGGAAAUUACUGCACCUUUACUGAGACAUUAUCAGAACGGAUAUUAUGUUUGGUUGUUUUACCUAAGCUUAAAGACAGAAUCUAAGGAGGUCUUCUACAGAAAAGUUGUGGUGAAUUUCAUAAGUUUUCUAACGAUAUAAGCUUUAACUCUAUUGGAUUAACAGAAUGAGAGUUAUACCUGUUUUUCUAUGCUGGUGUUUUUCAUAUCGUGGGAAAAUUUCAAGAUACAUGUUUAUUCUUUUGCACAUAAGAUCUUUGGGAUGUCAGAAGUUCUCAAUGUUAGUUAGCUUGCCUAGAAAACAUGCAAGCUACCUUUCUUGUGUCCCCUAAUUGACCUUUCUUAAGGGGGGUAGCCCAAAUAAAGGGGUUACAUGGAGAAGAAUUGGAUAAUGUUGGAUGGAUCAAGAGACUCAGUACCACGAAUGUAAAAGACUAUGAUGUGUGGCGUCCAAAAAGGUUAUGAGAACUAGUCUCUAGUGUCCCCCAAUCAAUCUAAUUUUAAGGGGGUAGUACCUUGAUAUCACGGAUGAUGCAUUUUAAAACUAGCUUGAAGUGAUAAUUGUCUUCUGAGAUAUUCUAUGGUUAUGAUCAUCUAUCCUUGUCGUGUUACUGACGUUGGUCACUUGAUGACAGGGAGUGUAGUGUCCCAUGAAUCCGGAGCACAAUAUGACGCCUCUCAUGGAUAGGUGGGAAGAAUAUGAUCACCUUGCCUUUGAAGAAAGAUGCUAUGAGUAUGACAAAGCUAAGUGUUAUCAAAAUAAUAAUACAGAAGAGCAAGUUGACAUUGAAUCAAAUCAGAAUCCACAACGACGGAAGCGUAAAAGGAAAGCCCGUAAGAAGCCUGCUCACGGAAGUAAAGAGCAACAAAAUUAUAUCAAUGGAAGACUAAACAAUGUGGAUAUGAAUGACAUUCAGAGAGCCACCAAAGUGGUGGGUGGAUAUUAUCAAGUGGACUCAGUGUUAGUUUUUGCUCUGUUUGACCGAAGUGCUUCCCAUUCUUUCAUUUCUGCCAACCUGGUAAAGACAAUUGAGCGGGUGAAGUGUCCAACAAGGAAGCCUUUGUUAGUUCAAACUCCAAAGAGAGAAAUACAGGCAGACCAGGUUUGCUCGAAUAUUAAUCUGGUCAUAAGCAAGGAGAACUUCACAGUAAACCUCAUUGUGCUAGAGUCAAUCAACAUUCCUUUGGUUCUUGGUAAUGGAUGGUUAUGUGCACACAAGGCAGUGAUCUAUGCUACCCAGUGGAAACUUUUCUUAACCGCACCAUCAGGGAAAAGAAUUGAGUAUCAGGGUGGUCCACUCCUACCUGAGGAGGCAUAUCCAUGCUAAGUUAUCAUGUCUUUGAGUUGCAUAAGUCAAAAAGUUGGUAGUCAGAAUGGACCUUGAUCAAUUACGAAUAAUAGACAUUUUAUGAAAGUUUUGUUCACAAGUUGUGAUCCCGAGACAUGAGUGUUUGUUUUUGGAAUGCAAGUGGUGAAGUUGAAAUAAUUAUCAAUAUCUUUUUCCUGUUUCUCUUUUGGAAUCCGUGCCUCUUCCGAAUCUCGAGGACGAGACUCAUUUUAAGGGGGUAGAUUUGUAACAUCCAAAAAUUUACAACUUUUGAAAUAGGUCUAAAAUAAUUAAAUUUUUUAAUUUUUGGUGCUCAUGAAACAUAGGAAAAUAAUAUUUUCAUUAAAUUAAAAUUUAUUAUAGGAUUUAGUAACAUGAAUGUGGAUUCAUGCUGGAGAAUUCAUUUUUUUGUUUGCUGAAUGAUUUGAUCUCAAAAUUCAAAAUAUUUCAAAUAGAUUUUUAAAUGGUUUUGAAAUAGGUUUUGAAUUAAAAGAAAAAGAAAAAAACAAAAGAAAAGGGAAAACUUUCCCCAUCGGCAUUCUAGCCCGAAGGCCCAGUCCUUCUCCUCCCUUUUUCCCCCUGGCCCCCUUUCUCUCCUUCCGCCCGGGCCCAGAACGCGCGCGGCCUGCUUCCCUUCCCCGCGGCCCAGCCACUGGCCCGCUCAAACCGCAGACGGGCGCGCCUCUCCCUGCUCUCUCUUUUCUUUUGACUGACCAACGGGCCCUCCCUUCCCUGCC
This 7210-nucleotide long non-coding RNA is filed under the name Sorghum bicolor (sorghum). RNAcentral's name for it is "long non-coding RNA (SBIC_LNC013853)". Lineage: Eukaryota; Viridiplantae; Streptophyta; Magnoliopsida; Poales; Poaceae. The record is from RNAcentral.